UACAGAGGUCUCAAGCGUUGUUCGGAUUCAUUGGGCGUAAAGGGUGCGUAGGCGGCGCGGUAAGUCGGGUGUGAAAUCUCGGAGCUUAACUCCGAAACUGCAUUCGAUACUGCCGUGCUUGAGGACUGGAGAGGAGAGUGGAAUUCCCGGUGUAGCGGUGAAAUGCGCAGAUAUCAGGAGGAACACCGGUGGCGAAGGCGGGUCUCUGGGCCGAUACUGACGCUGAGGAGCGAAAGCGUGGGGAGCGAACAGG
Molecule: ribosomal RNA, 253 nt
Filed under: uncultured bacterium
Lineage: Bacteria
Description: partial 16S ribosomal RNA
Rfam family: Bacterial small subunit ribosomal RNA
Source: RNAcentral